GAUGAACGCUGGCGGCGUGCCUAAUACAUGCAAGUCGAGCGAACGAACGAGAAGCUUGCUUCUCUGAUGUUAGCGGCGGACGGGUGAGUAACACGUGGAUAACCUACCUAUAAGACUGGGAUAACUUCGGGAAACCGGAGCUAAUACCGGAUGAUAUUUUGAACCGCAUGGUUCAAAAGUGAAAGACGGUCUUGCUGUCACUUAUAGAUGGAUCCGCGCUGCAUUAGCUAGUUGGUAAGGUAACGGCUUACCAAGGCAACGAUGCAUAGCCGACCUGAGAGGGUGAUCGGCCACACUGGAACUGAGACACGGUCCAGACUCCUACGGGAGGCAGCAGUAGGGAAUCUUCCGCAAUGGGCGAAAGCCUGACGGAGCAACGCCGCGUGAGUGAUGAAGGUCUUCGGAUCGUAAAACUCUGUUAUUAGGGAAGAACAUAUGUGUAAGUAACUGUGCACAUCUUGACGGUACCUAAUCAGAAAGCCACGGCUAACUACGUG
RNAcentral lists this ribosomal RNA (497 nucleotides) under uncultured bacterium. RNAcentral's name for it is "partial 16S ribosomal RNA". It matches the Rfam family "Bacterial small subunit ribosomal RNA", at positions 28 to 507 of the family's 1533-position model. The record is from RNAcentral.